UUAAAUUGAAGAGUUUGAUCAUGGCUCAGAUUGAACGCUGGCGGCAGGCCUAACACAUGCAAGUCGAACGGUAACAGGAAGCAGCUUGCUGCUUUGCUGACGAGUGGCGGACGGGUGAGUAAUGUCUGGGAAACUGCCUGAUGGAGGGGGAUAACUACUGGAAACGGUGGCUAAUACCGCAUAACGUCGCAAGACCAAAGAGGGGGACCUUCGGGCCUCUUGCCAUCAGAUGUGCCCAGAUGGGAUUAGCUUGUUGGUGAGGUAACGGCUCACCAAGGCGACGAUCCCUAGCUGGUCUGAGAGGAUGACCAGCCACACUGGAACUGAGACACGGUCCAGACUCCUACGGGAGGCAGCAGUGGGGAAUAUUGCACAAUGGGCGCAAGCCUGAUGCAGCCAUGCCGCGUGUAUGAAGAAGGCCUUCGGGUUGUAAAGUACUUUCAGCGGGGAGGAAGGUGUUGUGGUUAAUAACCGCAGCAAUUGACGUUACCCGCAGAAGAAGCACCGGCUAACUCCGUGCCAGCAGCCGCGGUAAUACGGAGGGUGCAAGCGUUAAUCGGAAUUACUGGGCGUAAAGCGCACGCAGGCGGUCUGUCAAGUCGGAUGUGAAAUCCCCGGGCUCAACCUGGGAACUGCAUUCGAAACUGGCAGGCUUGAGUCUUGUAGAGGGGGGUAGAAUUCCAGGUGUAGCGGUGAAAUGCGUAGAGAUCUGGAGGAAUACCGGUGGCGAAGGCGGCCCCUGGACAAAGACUGACGCUCAGGUGCGAAAGCGUGGGGAGCAAACAGGAUUAGAUACCCUGGUAGUCCACGCCGUAAACGAUGUCUACUUGGAGGUUGUGCCCUUGAGGCGUGGCUUCCGGAGCUAACGCGUUAAGUAGACCGCCUGGGGAGUACGGCCGCAAGGUUAAAACUCAAAUGAAUUGACGGGGGCCCGCACAAGCGGUGGAGCAUGUGGUUUAAUUCGAUGCAACGCGAAGAACCUUACCUGGUCUUGACAUCCACAGAACUUUCCAGAGAUGGAUUGGUGCCUUCGGGAACUGUGAGACAGGUGCUGCAUGGCUGUCGUCAGCUCGUGUUGUGAAAUGUUGGGUUAAGUCCCGCAACGAGCGCAACCCUUAUCCUUUGUUGCCAGCGAUUAGGUCGGGAACUCAAAGGAGACUGCCAGUGAUAAACUGGAGGAAGGUGGGGAUGACGUCAAGUCAUCAUGGCCCUUACGACCAGGGCUACACACGUGCUACAAUGGCGCAUACAAAGAGAAGCGACCUCGCGAGAGCAAGCGGACCUCAUAAAGUGCGUCGUAGUCCGGAUUGGAGUCUGCAACUCGACUCCAUGAAGUCGGAAUCGCUAGUAAUCGUGGAUCAGAAUGCCACGGUGAAUACGUUCCCGGGCCUUGUACACACCGCCCGUCACACCAUGGGAGUGGGUUGCAAAAGAAGUAGGUAGCUUAACCUUCGGGAGGGCGCUUACCACUUUGUGAUUCAUGACUGGGGUGAAGUCGUAACAAGGUAACCGUAGGGGAACCUGCGGUUGGAUCACCUCCUUACCUGAAAGAAGC
Molecule: ribosomal RNA, 1555 nt
Filed under: Salmonella enterica subsp. enterica serovar Onderstepoort str. SA20060086
Lineage: Bacteria; Pseudomonadati; Pseudomonadota; Gammaproteobacteria; Enterobacterales; Enterobacteriaceae
Description: bacterial SSU rRNA
Rfam family: Bacterial small subunit ribosomal RNA
Source: RNAcentral